RNAcentral lists this long non-coding RNA (1374 nucleotides) under Salmo salar (Atlantic salmon). RNAcentral's name for it is "lncRNA (ENSSSAG00000114151.1)". Lineage: Eukaryota; Metazoa; Chordata; Actinopteri; Salmoniformes; Salmonidae. The record is from RNAcentral.
GAUUUAAGCUGUUUGUAGAUUGAUUUUAUAGUGACAUUGCUAGCUACUUAUUUACCUCAGCCUGCCUAGUCAGCUGACGUUAGCUAGCUAGCAGACAGUUUUCUUUAGCUAACGUUAUCUAGCUAGCUAACUGUCAUUGUAGAUUUCUGUUUGUAUGUAGCUUGCACUUUAAUGGCAUCCCUCGAGGAGAUUUUAUUUUAUCUUUCCAAACAGGCGAAGUACGAUGAAGGCACCACUGAUCUCGAAAAGAGGCACAAUAUUUGUAGUGGGGCAGAAAAAUUCAGAGUUCAGGGAUGGCCAGCCACACAGGAGGGUGAUUUUUACAAAGGAGGAAAAGGAGGCCGUUCUGAAUGAGAAGCAUGCUGGCCAUUUAGAAGUGAAAGGCAUGAUUGCCAAAAUCAAUCUACAUUUCUUCUGCCGUGGGAUUGUCAAGGAAGGAUGUGCAACUUAGUACCUGUCUAGCCUGCCAGAAGUUUGAGAAGAUGAAGACUGUGGCACCAGAGUUGAAGCCUAUCAAAGUUGUUUCACCAUGACACAUGAUUGGGGUAGACCUCACCGUACCCUUCACAAAAUCCAGGAAUGGCAACCGUUGGUGUCUGACAGCAACCGAUUACUUUACCAAGUGGGUGGAGGCAAUACCCAUUAAGGACAAGACUGGUGAGUCCACUUCCAAGGCAAUAAUGGACAUCUUCAACGCCAACAGUUCACCUGAGGUCAUCUGGAGUGACAGAGGUCGUGAACUCUGGAAAACAGUUUGGAUGAACGGACCAACCAGACCCUCAAGAUUGCCAUGGGCAAGUCCCUUGACGGGUUCCAGGAACAGUGGGAGAACAACCUGAAGGCAAUUCUCUUUGCACACAAUGGCAGUGUCCAGGCCGUGUUGCAAGCACAGCUUCAGAUGCAAUCGCUAGGCAAGGGCAAUUUAAGUGUAGGAAAGGAUGAAACAGCAUCUGUGCCACCAGCAUCAUGCAGUCAGAUGAUGGGCAGCAAAGAGCCAGAUGAAUGGAGCUGCUUUACAAGGAAUGGAGAAGGAACAAAAUAGCCAUUUGGAUAAAUCUGGAGAAAACACUGACAAACUUGACAUCUCAAGAUAUGAUGGAGAGCACUGAAGACGUGGGCGAUAAGAGGGCAACAGAGGAAGAAGAUCUGUAGAAUAUCUGUCAAUAGGCUGUGGCACAAGAGGAAGGAACAGUGGAUCAACCACCGUUGAAUUGUGACUCCACUUUAUCUCUAUACUGACACUUCGCUUGUUUGAUUGCCUUACGGCGGGAAUAACUACACUGUUUGUAUUCAGCCAUAUUUCCAGUCGCCUUGCCAUGAUUAAAUGCGGUGGUACAUGCUUUCAGUUUUGCACGAAUGCUGCCAUCAAUCCAC